AUGCAAAACAACUACCGCAUAGGUUUUAUAUUUCUUUUAGAUCAAAGGAGGGUACGAUCAAGAAACUGCAAGGAAUCUGCGAUGAACAGCGAAGAACACCGACGAACUUGCAACCCUAAUGCAGAUCUAAUGGUGCGGAAAGGUAAGAGCUUACGGGUGCAGAUCUACUGCGGAGGGUCGUCGUCGUUCUCUGGUCAAGCUCAGGGUGAUGCAGCGGCCAAAGUUGAGGAUGACGGUGAGCGCUGCGGCGGGGGAGCUCGAGCGGAAGAGGGGUUGCGAGAGGAAGAAGGAGAAGACUGA
RNAcentral lists this ribosomal RNA (300 nucleotides) under Triticum aestivum (bread wheat). RNAcentral's name for it is "partial small subunit ribosomal RNA". Lineage: Eukaryota; Viridiplantae; Streptophyta; Magnoliopsida; Poales; Poaceae. The record is from RNAcentral.